RNAcentral lists this long non-coding RNA (1626 nucleotides) under Anas platyrhynchos platyrhynchos (common mallard). RNAcentral describes it as "lncRNA (ENSAPLG00000017899.1)". Lineage: Eukaryota; Metazoa; Chordata; Aves; Anseriformes; Anatidae. The record is from RNAcentral.
AUUUGGCUUCGCUGGGGUUCUCUGCCCCCCGAAGCAGCGAGGCAAGGGGCAGCCCCCCUCCAGCACGACGUGUGCCUGUACCCAGCUGCAGGGCAGGGCAGGAGCCCUGCAGGGGGUGAAAAAUAGUGGGAUCCACGUGUGAGCAUGCGUGUUCAGCCAGGCAGGUGGCAGAGAGCAGCAUGGGGCUGUGGGAUAGGAAUGGGGGCGAUGCUCCUGGCACCCCAACAUGCCCACCCCGCCAUCCACAGGGACUGCAUCUGCCCUGCCACCCACCCCUGCUGCAGGAAGAAAUGCUCCCACCCAGCGAUCUGGGCUGGGUUGUGCCCAAAUGGCAAGGCAACAACAGGACCCGCCAGGCACCCCCCUGCCCCCAGACAGGGCUCACAGGUCGUGCUGCAGGCACCCACCCCCAGCACAGAAAUCCCCCCACAGCCCUCCAGGACCCCCAGGAGGGGGGAGAGGAAAUCAGAAGAGGAGCGUUUCAACUCACAAGAAAGGGGAACCUGAAGAGUGAAUCUGGGUCAUGCCAAAGCCUCUGUUCAACAGGAAAUGAAGUGCUUUACAAACCUUUCUCCUUCUCCCUUUCUCUUCCCUUUUAUUGCUUCUUUUGGGGUCUUUUGCAGUGAAAGGUUUCAUUUAGAAAACGUAAAAUGAAAAUGUUUUAAUUGUCCUUUUUUCCUCCUGUUUUACACUGAAUGCAGCUCUCACACCCAGCUUUGGUCUGACCAAAAUGGCCUUUUGGGCUCGUUUUCUGCCCAUCAGCAACAACAACAACAAAAUGCGCUGUUAUGGCUGGAAUUCACUCAGAAUUUACUCCAAACCCUUCCUGGUACCCACAAGAGCGGGCACUGAGCGUGAAGGGUUGGCAUUACAGGAAGCCCCAUGCUGGUGGGUGAAAAUCUCCACCCCAGCGAGCCCAUGAGGACACUGGGGUGCAGCAAGCCAAGCAAAUCUCGAGGUUCCUGAUGCCCUGGGAGGGCGACUGGCUUUAGACUGACCAUGGAGGAGGUUGGCUUGAAGAGAAGAUGUGUGCAGCUUUGAGGGGGGUGCAGCUGCAUAUGCAGUCAGGAAGGGAUGCGACAGCAGGACUGGCAGCUCUGGAUGGGGAGGCAGCGAGCAGCAGAGCACCCACACUUACCCUGUACAAGGAGAUUCAAGGCAAGGAGGCCCUGGGGCUGCUCAGUCACUGCUAGAGGGAAUAUUUGGCACCAGGGACAUUUUGAUGCCCAUGAGGCUCAGGAUGAGCCUGGUCCAUGCUGAGUCCCAACUCCUUUCCCCCUUUGCCUGUGUGGUGAUCCUGCAGGACAUGGGUACGGUGCUGAGGUCCCCAGCCACAGGUGGCAGCUGUGGGGGGCAACAGCAGUGCCAAGUGCGCCCCAGCAAGGGGCAGCUGCCCCAGGAGCAUGACACAGUUUGCGGCUGUGCUCCUGCACUGCCCCUGCCAGGUAAUUAGAGCAGGCAGGGUGUGUGCAGAGUGGCUGUAAUUGCCCACACACCUAAGGUGUGGUGGAAGUCAGGAGGUGAAGCAAAACCUUCCGCCUGACCUAGAUGCAGGGGGGCUGCCCGGCAGCAGUGGGGCGAGGAGGCGGUGAGGAGGAAGCGAGUGAUGAAAGCUUGUGCGGGCAG